Molecule: ribosomal RNA, 460 nt
Filed under: uncultured bacterium
Lineage: Bacteria
Description: partial 16S ribosomal RNA
Rfam family: Bacterial small subunit ribosomal RNA
Source: RNAcentral
CCUACGGGUGGCAGCAGUGAGGAAUAUUGGUCAAUGGACGAGAGUCUGAACCAGCCAAGUAGCGUGAAGGAUGACUGCCCUAUGGGUUGUAAACUUCUUUUAUAUGGGAAUAAAACGAGGUACGCAUGCCUUUUUGUAUGUACUUUAUGAAUAAGGAUCGGCUAACUCCGUGCCAGCAGCCGCGGUAAUACGGAGGAUCCGAGCGUUAUCCGGAUUUAUUGGGUUUAAAGGGAGCGUAGGUGGGUUGUUAAGUCAGUUGUGAAAGUUUGCGGCUCAACCGUAAAAUUGCAAUUGAUACUGGCAGUCUUGAGUACAGUUGAGGUAGGCGGAAUUCGUGGUGUAGCGGUGAAAUGCUUAGAUAUCACGAAGAACCCCGAUUGCGAAGGCAGCUUACUAAACUGUAACUGACACUGAUGCUCGAAAGUGUGGGUAUCAAACAGGAUUAGAUACCCUAGUAGUC